This 268-nucleotide ribosomal RNA is filed under the name Pediococcus acidilactici. RNAcentral describes it as "partial 16S ribosomal RNA". It matches the Rfam family "Bacterial small subunit ribosomal RNA", at positions 1156 to 1423 of the family's 1533-position model. The record is from RNAcentral. Lineage: Bacteria; Bacillati; Bacillota; Bacilli; Lactobacillales; Lactobacillaceae.
GGACAAACCGGAGGAAGGUGGGGAGGACGUCAAAUCAUCAUGCCACUUAUGACCUGGGCUGCACACGUGCUACAAUGGAUGGUACAACGAGUCGCGAAACCGCGAGGUUUAGCUAAUCUCUUAAAACCAUUCUCAGUUCGGACUGUAGGCUGCAACUCGCCUACACGAAGUCGGAAUCGCUAGUAAUCGCGGAUCAGCAUGCCGCGAUGAAUACGUUCCCGGGCCUUGUACACACCGCCCGUCUCGCCAUGAGAGUUUGUAACACCCA